RNAcentral lists this ribosomal RNA (253 nucleotides) under uncultured bacterium. Its description in RNAcentral is "partial 16S ribosomal RNA". It matches the Rfam family "Bacterial small subunit ribosomal RNA", at positions 524 to 776 of the family's 1533-position model. The record is from RNAcentral.
GACAGAGGGGGCAAGCGUUGCUCGGAAUUACUGGGCGUAAAGGGCGCGUAGGCGGGAUGGCAAGUCGGUCGUGAAAUCCCUCGGCUCAACUGAGGAUCGUCGAUCGAUACUGCCGUUCUUGAGGAUUGCAGAGGAGACUGGAAUUCCCGGUGUAGCGGUGAAAUGUGUAGAGAUCGGGAGGAACACCGGUGGCGAAGGCGACAUCCUGGACCGGUAUUGACGCUGAGGCGCGAAAGCCAGGGGAGCAAACGGG